GCAAACUUGGUCAUUUAGAGGAAGUAAAAGUCGUAACAAGGUUUCCGUAGGUGAACCUGCGGAAGGAUCAUUAUUGAAUUAACUUGGAUACUGUAGCUGGUGCGCAAGCACAUGUGCUCGUGUUCAUUUUACCUCUCAUCUCUUUGUGCACCUUUUCUAGUCUUGAGUUUUGAACGUGAACCUCUCACAUUUUCGAAUGUGGAUGUAGGGUUUGGCUUUGUUGCCUUUCUCUUACUCGCAAGUAAAGCUUGAGAUUAGGUUUUACAUACCUUUAUAAAAAGUCAUAGAAUGUCACUUUGUUGGCGCAAGCCGAUAAAACCUAUACAACUUUCAGCAACGGAUCUCUUGGCUCUCCCAUCGAUGAAGAACGCAGC
This 374-nucleotide unclassified non-coding RNA is filed under the name uncultured fungus. Its description in RNAcentral is "partial contains small subunit ribosomal RNA, internal transcribed spacer 1, and 5.8S ribosomal RNA". The stretch from base 1 to 73 matches the Rfam family "Eukaryotic small subunit ribosomal RNA", at positions 1759 to 1831 of the family's 1831-position model. The record is from RNAcentral. Lineage: Eukaryota; Fungi.